CCAAUGCUUUAGGGGUGUUUCCCGCGGUAAUACGCGGGAGGCUGAGAAUAACCCUCAUAACCUGCUCAGGAUAAUGCCUGCGAAGGGAAAAGUAACGGAUUCCUC
RNAcentral lists this non-coding RNA (105 nucleotides) under Parapedobacter luteus. RNAcentral describes it as "TPP sequence". It matches the Rfam family "TPP riboswitch aptamer (THI element)". From Rfam's summary of the family: Vitamin B(1) in its active form thiamin pyrophosphate (TPP) is an essential coenzyme that is synthesised by coupling of pyrimidine and thiazole moieties in bacteria. Lineage: Bacteria; Pseudomonadati; Bacteroidota; Sphingobacteriia; Sphingobacteriales; Sphingobacteriaceae. The record is from Rfam by way of RNAcentral.